CUCCCACCCUGCUUCUGGUGCAAGCGCCACUAAAUCUCACCCUAACAUCCCUUCGGCUUUAGGAGAGGCUGGCGAGACUGUUAGAGGGAUCCAGGUGGCCACCUCCUGGACAGCAGGUCCCCAAGCGCACAUCCCGGGGGCGGGGACGGGGACGGGAGAGCCCCUGAUGGCGUCUUACACGUUAUUCCCGGACGGUCCGUCCAGGCGGCACGGCGGGUUUCGGGUGGGCCCUGGCAGCGUCCCUGAAUGGGAUGCCCUGAUUUUGGCGGUGCGGGAGCCCUGCUAGACCGGCUGCCCUGGUAGGACGCCCCGGGGAGGGCGGCAGAGCCCCGCAGGAUGUGGCGGUACCUGCCGGCACCGGGGGCAGAAGCAAGCCCGCAGCCCCCCCCUCCGCCCCCGCGGGGGACGCUCUCACAGAACGCGACAAGAGGGAUCCUACCGUCUUUCUUCAAAACUAAUUAAUAAUCAGUGGGGGUGGCGGUGGUGGGUGCUUCUGCGUGCACGCGUGGGACCGCACCUGGCAGCUGCGGCCGCUCGGGGGGUGUGCGGGGGCAGCGCGGCGGUCCCGCUCCCCCGCGCAUCCCCACCGCCGCCGGCCGCUGUUGGAGUGGCGGCUCCGCAACCCGGCGCCGGGGCCAUGGGUGCCCCCAGCAGCCCCCGGCGCACCCUUCCCGGCCGCCUCAGCCUCCCCUUGCAGCCAAGUCAUAAACGAAACGCCAUGAGCAUUUACCUGCCGCUGGAAAGACCCAGCCCGCUGUCGUCCCGGUGACAAUUUACGUUCCUCCUGAGGCAUUAAAGAUUAGCGUAAGCGUUGCCGAUCUUGAAACGCUGUUUUCAAAUGCAAGGGGUAAAUGCUACAACAAAAGAAAUUAAAAUAGGUCGUUGUUAGAGUAGCCAAGUAUUUCAUUUUCUCUUUACACUCUUUAACCAAAACGGUCUGGUUUUGUUAUUAGUGAAAAUACUUAAAUUUUCACAAACUUUCUUCAGAGAAUUCCAUUUAAGAUCGCUUUUAAUGUGUAGAUCUAUUUGUUACGGAAAUCUACGUGUAACGUAAGAGCGAAAGAUUUGUUGUUUGUCUUUGCCGGUAUUAAAGAUCGUCUGAGCUUACAGGA
Falco peregrinus (peregrine falcon) is the source of this 1112-nucleotide long non-coding RNA. RefSeq lists it as uncharacterized. The record is from RefSeq and is a predicted model, not a curated record. The transcript is spliced from 2 exons. Lineage: Eukaryota; Metazoa; Chordata; Aves; Falconiformes; Falconidae.